Molecule: ribosomal RNA, 253 nt
Filed under: uncultured bacterium
Lineage: Bacteria
Description: partial 16S ribosomal RNA
Rfam family: Bacterial small subunit ribosomal RNA
Source: RNAcentral
UACAGAGACUGCAAGCGUUAUUCGGAUUCACUGGGCGUAAAGGGUGCGUAGGCGGUUGGGUGUGUCAGAUGUGAAAUCCCGAGGCUCAAUUUUGGAACUGUGUCUGAAACUACUCGACUAGAGUAUUGGAGAGGGUAACGGAAUUCACGGUGUAGCAGUGAAAUGCGUAGAUAUCGUGAGGAAUACCAGAGGCGAAGGCGGUUACCUGGACAAUUACUGACGCUCAGGCACGAAAGCGUGGGGAGCAAAAGGG